Molecule: ribosomal RNA, 795 nt
Filed under: uncultured bacterium
Lineage: Bacteria
Description: bacterial SSU rRNA
Rfam family: Bacterial small subunit ribosomal RNA
Source: RNAcentral
AGAGUUUGAUCAUGGCUCAGAUUGAACGCUGGCGGCAUGCCUUACACAUGCAAGUCGAGCGGCAGCGCGGGGGCAACCCUGGCGGCGAGCGGCGCACGGGUGAGUAAUGCAUCGGAACGUGUCCUCUUGUGGGGGAUAACCAGUCGAAAGACUGGCUAAUACCGCAUGAGAUCGAGAGAUGAAAGCAGGGGACCCGCAAGGGCCUUGCGCGAGAGGAGCGGCCGAUGCCCGAUUAGCUAGUUGGCGGGGUAAAAGCCCACCAAGGCGACGAUCGGUAGCUGGUCUGAGAGGACGACCAGCCACACUGGGACUGAGACACGGCCCAGACUCCUACGGGAGGCAGCAGUGGGGAAUUUUGGACAAUGGGGGCAACCCUGAUCCAGCCAUGCCGCGUGUGUGAAGAAGGCCUUCGGGUUGUAAAGCACUUUCGGACGGAACGAAAUCGCACGAUCUAACAAGUCGUGUGGAUGACGGUACCGUAAGAAGAAGCACCGGCUAACUACGUGCCAGCAGCCGCGGUAAUACGUAGGGUGCGAGCGUUAAUCGGAAUUACUGGGCGUAAAGUGUGCGCAGGCGGCUAAGCAAGUCGAGUGUGAAAGCCCCGGGCUUAACUUGGGAAUUGCGCUCGAAACUACUUGGCUGGAGUGUGGCAGAGGAAGGUGGAAUUCCACGUGUAGCGGUGAAAUGCGUAGAGAUGUGGAGGAACACCAAUGGCGAAGGCAGCCUUCUGGGCCAACACUGACGCUCAUGCACGAAAGCGUGGGGAGCAAACAGGAUUAGAUACCCUAGUAGUCC